Molecule: ribosomal RNA, 114 nt
Filed under: Pteropus alecto (black flying fox)
Lineage: Eukaryota; Metazoa; Chordata; Mammalia; Chiroptera; Pteropodidae
Source: RNAcentral
UCCUGGGUUCACACCCCAGUGGAGCCAUGGUCCAUGACGCUGGAAGCUAAGCAAGGUUGGGCCUGGUUAGUACUUGGAUGGGAGACCACCUAGGAAGACCAGGUGCUGUAGGCA